This 391-nucleotide ribosomal RNA is filed under the name Labyrinthulaceae sp. RNAcentral describes it as "partial small subunit ribosomal RNA". It matches the Rfam family "Eukaryotic small subunit ribosomal RNA", at positions 582 to 975 of the family's 1831-position model. Lineage: Eukaryota; Bigyra; Labyrinthulida; Labyrinthulaceae. The record is from RNAcentral.
AUUCCAGCUCCAAUAGCGUAUAUUAAAGUUGUUGCAGUUAAAAAGCUCGUAGUUGGAUUUCUGAUCGAAGCGACCAUACCGGGCUUGAUUGUCCGUGUAAUGUGUUGUCUUCAGUCAUCCUUGUGGAGAGUAUUUCUGGCAUUAAUUUGUUAGAGGUAGGACCCGCAUCAUUUACUGUGAAAAAAUUAGAGUGUUCAAAGCAGGCAAUUCGCUUGAAUACAUAGCAUGGAAUAAUAAGAUAGGACUUUGGUGCUAUUUUGUUGGUUUGCACACUAAGGUAAUGAUUAACAGAAUCAGUCGGGGAUAUUCGUAUGCAAAUGUCAGAGGUGAAAUUCUUGGAUUUUUUACAGACGAACUACUGCGAAAGCAUUUAUCAAGGAUGUUUUCAUCG